Molecule: long non-coding RNA, 2931 nt
Organism: Mya arenaria
Lineage: Eukaryota; Metazoa; Mollusca; Bivalvia; Myida; Myidae
Exons: 2
Source: RefSeq, a predicted model, not a curated record
CCUCGUCAGCAAAUACAGAUUUUUACGCAUAAAACAUUAUCAAAUGGUCACAGCUUAUGUAACAAAAUAGGCAGUCACGAGUUUUCAAAGAAAUAGUGUAAAAAAAAAAACCGAACACUAAACUCCUUAUACAAAUAAAGUAAACAUCUUUGAUGUACAUGUAUGUACAUAGUUGGUGAUGCGGUUCACUGUACUACGUUUUGUUAACAGCAUCACGGGGCUUUGACUCAUACUGAUCAUAUGAGUGUAUGUGUCAAUGAUACUGCAUCUUACAACCUCAUUACGAAGAUUAAACAUUCACACUUGUCCACAUGGUUUAACUGAUAGUGGCUAUCGAUAGUAUAACUUAAAGGAUAUUUGUGGUGUACCGCCUUUUGUUUUACUUCGUUCUAGAAUUUUAGAUCAGAAUGGGUCAAGGCGAUGGUUCUGGUGGCGGGAUGCCGCGUUUCUUCUGGGGAUGCCUAUGGUUUCUCACCAUAUGGUUCAUCGCGUGGCCAAUCGCGUUCUUUCUCGCGUGGAUAUACAUUUUCCUACUUCCGUUCAGCGUCUGUUGCGAACCGUUAAAGGAUGUGUGCCAGUUCUUGCAGAAAUGCGUGCUACUACCUUUAACGUGCGCUGAAAAUAUGGUUAGCAUGAAGCCGAUGUGUUGAAAAGGAACUCGAAGUUGAAUAUUGAUGAUUGCCUGAAACUCUUUUCUCUUACAAUAUGGAAUAUCAGAACUCAGGGAACCAGACACUAUUGGGGAAUGAGCUGUUAUCACGGUGCCACUUUUGACGGAUAUUCAUGGCCCAAAUUUCUCGGAACUUCUUAAGCUAAACAGGCUUAAGUUGUUUAUUUUACUUAGCCAAAAUACAUACAUAAAUUCGAUUUUGAUCAAUGAUCAAUAGUUAAAUGUGAUCAUUAUAGUGAGGAUUAAUAUUUUAUGGCUGAAAACUCUUACAAAAGUAAAUACAGUCAAACCCCGUUGGCUCGAACUCACAGGGAGCGGCGAAAAUACCUCGAGCCUCGGGAAAAUCGAGCCAAGCGGGAUUUGUAUCAUUCAGAAGGAAAACAGCGGUCCUUAUAUCAAGUUCGAGGCAACGAGGAAAUCGAGCCAAACGUGAAAUGUUACAUUCAAUAGGAAAACAUCGGUCCUUUAUAUCAAGUUCGAGGAAAUCGAGCCAAGCGAGUUUGAGCCAACGGAAUUCGAUUGCACAUUUAGAGCGCAAAUGAUAGUGCAAACAAAAUUAGUAAGCUUAGCUUAAUACUGGCAUAAGGGACUUAAGAAGUUAAGAAUAAAAUGGGGACUGGACUUGAGCAACUUCCUUACUAUUUAUAAUGUACACGAUCUUACGUUUAUUAUUCUAUACGGUAUGAUAUUUGAUUAGAUUUUGGAGUUGGGCGCGUUUCAUAAAAAAAGUGAAAAAUAUCCGGACACUGUUGGGUCGUGAGAAUUUCGUCAACGACUGCUAUCUGUGAUUACAACCAUGGCGAAACAUCAAAAUGUUAAACUUACGCCAAACUUGACAAAUAUAACAUUAUUAUACCUUUUAUAGGGUUUGAUUUGCUUUAAAUGUAUUUUGUGCACAUGUGCUUAUCGCAGAUGAAAUCAUUUCUUUACAAAUAUCAUCGUUCACUGCCGACUUCAAAAGAAUCUGUGAAAAUCAUAAAAACUUGUUACAGCAUGGGAAACUUGCAAUGAAUUUCUUGGAAAUGAUUGUUGUUUUUUGUAAUGUUUCGAUUUAUUUUGUCUUGAGUAUUUCUUAGAAAUAUACGUUUUAUUAUUUUUAGCUGUUGAAUGUUCGUGAACAUUAAAAACUCAACCAGCAAGUGGCAGUUAAAGAAUAUAUUUUUAAUUUGUAUUUUUGCAUGCUACCUUCACUAGAAAAAUGUGAAUAUUGUUUCAAAGUAAUGAUUUUAAAUUUAAAAUUCUAACUUUGUGGCAACAUCGCGUCCUGUUAUUAAUCUAAUUUUCCUUGUCUCGUUUAAAUUCGCGUGCAUCCUGCAUUGUACUUUUGUGUUUGUAUAAUUGUUUCUGUUUGUUAGAUUUUUAAAUUUGUUUAACUUUUAAAAUAUAAACUUUUACUUCCUGUUCACGAUUCAAGUCAGAAAUCUGGGUUAAAAUGAUAGUUUUACUGCCGUAAGUAAAAGAGAUAAAAAAUAUUCAAUUACAUCGAUUUCAACGCAUUAUUUCUGAAUUGAUGGGGCGCUUGUCCAAAAUUGCGUCACUCUAAGUGACGCCCCUUUGACGCUUAUUUUUUGCCCCGCCCCUGUAAUGCGAAGUACUGAUCAUCCAUUCUUACGAUCUUUAUCCAAGAAUAAUGAGUUUUGUAAAAACAAUGUGCUAAAUAUAAUCUAAUUAUAAUGAUGUUAACUGAGUGUUAUUUGUAAUGUAACACUUUAUUUUAAUUUACAGCUGCACUCUCACAGUUUGAACUUUUUUUUAUUUUUUUGUCUUCGAACGAGCCAUUUUUGCGAAAAUCAAUGGGAACCAGCUAUUCAAGACUGCUGACAAAAAAUAGAUCGCAGACUUUUAUAUUUAAGUUCAAAAAAUGAUGUUAGUAACGGUUUAAGCCAUAAAACAUGAAUGUUCGAACGCAAAUAUGAAAAUCUACGAUCUGAUCUUUUGGACAGCAAUCUUAUAUCAUUGAUUUGCAGAUAUUUACGCAAAAAAUUGCUCUUUCCAAGACAAAAAAUGAAAUGUUGUACAAAUGGUAUAUCUGUGAGAGUGCAGCUUUAAGUACAUUUGGAAAUAUGGUAGCAUUGUUGUGAGGCCGGAAUAUUUCAGCAAUUUUUAACUUCUGUAUCGUUUGUUUAUCAUUAGUUUAUUUAUAAAUUGAAAUAUGUUAUAUAUUUGAAUAGAUGUAUAUGUUUGUUGGUAGAGCUAACUGUUACAUGUAUAUAUUUGUAUAGUAUAGUUUAUAGACUUUUAAAUAAAAGGGAGUUAAUCUA